This 27-nucleotide small RNA is filed under the name Bombyx mori (domestic silkworm). RNAcentral describes it as "ovarian small RNA-29889". Lineage: Eukaryota; Metazoa; Arthropoda; Insecta; Lepidoptera; Bombycidae. The record is from RNAcentral.
UCUCUUUGUAGGGUGUCCUAAUUUCCA